RNAcentral lists this ribosomal RNA (253 nucleotides) under uncultured bacterium. RNAcentral describes it as "partial 16S ribosomal RNA". It matches the Rfam family "Bacterial small subunit ribosomal RNA", at positions 524 to 776 of the family's 1533-position model. The record is from RNAcentral.
UACGUAGGGCGCAAGCGUUGUCCGGAAUUACUGGGCGUAAAGCGUGCGCAGGCGGUUUUGUAAGCCAGAUGUGAAAUCCCCGGGCUUAACCUGGGAAUGGCAUUUGGGACUGCAAGGCUUGAGUGCGGCAGAGGAGACUGGAAUUCCUGGUGUAGCAGUGAAAUGCGCAGAUAUCAGGAGGAACACCGGUGGCGAAGGCGGGUCUCUGGGCCGUAACUGACGCUGAGGAGCGAAAGCGUGGGGAGCGAACAGG